CUUGUAAAAGUGAGCAAAUCUGAAAAGUUGGUCUCAGUUCGGAUUGAGGGCUGCAAUUCGUCCUCAUGAAGCUGGAAUCACUAGUAAUCGCGAAUCAGCUAUGUCGCGGUGAAUACGUUCUCGGGUCUUGUACACACCGCCCGUCAAACUAUGAAAGCUGGUAAUAUUUAAAAACGUGUUGCUAACCUUUAUUGGAAGUGCAUGUCAAGGAUAGCACCGGUGAUUGGAGUUAAGUCGUAACAAGGUACCCCUACGAGAACGUGGGGGUGGAUCACCUC
Molecule: ribosomal RNA, 278 nt
Filed under: Mycoplasmoides genitalium
Lineage: Bacteria; Bacillati; Mycoplasmatota; Mycoplasmoidales; Mycoplasmoidaceae
Description: Mycoplasma genitalium partial 16S ribosomal RNA
Rfam family: Bacterial small subunit ribosomal RNA
Source: RNAcentral